RNAcentral lists this long non-coding RNA (286 nucleotides) under Chinchilla lanigera (long-tailed chinchilla). Its description in RNAcentral is "lncRNA (ENSCLAG00000022359.1)". Lineage: Eukaryota; Metazoa; Chordata; Mammalia; Rodentia; Chinchillidae. The record is from RNAcentral.
AUGCACUUGACUCACCUGCUCCGGCGCGGUCGCCUCCGGCCUCUGCUGACAGCUGGGGGCUUUGUUUUCCCCACCCACUCGGCCCGCCGCGCUCCGCCCCCGCCGCCGCCCGUGACGCGCCGCCCGCCCCCGCCGCGCCUCCGGGAGUCCGCUCCAGACCCGGCCAGCGCCGCCCCCUCCCGGGGGUGCUGGUGCGAGAAGACCCCCGCGGGGCAAGCGGGCGGCGAGACGCGCCGGCCCCAGGGAAAGAAGACAAAGGGAAAAAUUUCUACCCAGUGAAUUGAAG